AAUUCAUGCAUUGGACAUUUUCACAGUAACUCUUUAAAUCGCUCCCAAGCUUUAUGUAAAUUCUCGUCUUCUAGUUGUUUGAAGGAGGUGAGAUCAUUCCUCAUAUU
This is a small nucleolar RNA of Hibiscus syriacus, 107 nucleotides long. The record is from RefSeq and is a predicted model, not a curated record. Lineage: Eukaryota; Viridiplantae; Streptophyta; Magnoliopsida; Malvales; Malvaceae.